CCUACGGGGGGCAGCAGUGGGGAAUAUUGCACAAUGGGGGAAACCCUGAUGCAGCGACGCCGCGUGAGUGAAGCAGUAUUUCGGUAUGUACAGCUCUAUCAGCAGGGAAGACAAUGACGGUAACUGAUUAAGAAGCCCCGGUUAACUACGUGCCAGCAGCCGCGGUAAUACGUAGGGGGCAAGCGUUAGACGGAUUGACUGGGUGUAAAGGGAGCGUAGACGGCAGCACAAGUCUGGAGUGAAAUGGCGGGGCUUAACCCCGGAAAUGCUUUGGAAACUGUGCAGCUAGAGUGCAGGAGAGGUAAGUGUAAUUCCUAGUGUAGCGGUGAAAUGCGUAGAUAUUAGGAGGAACACCAGUGGCGAAGGCGGCUUACUGGACUGUAACUGACGUUGAGGCUCGAAAGCGUGGGGAGCAAACAGGAUUAGAUACCCGGGUAGUC
This 440-nucleotide ribosomal RNA is filed under the name uncultured bacterium. RNAcentral describes it as "partial 16S ribosomal RNA". It matches the Rfam family "Bacterial small subunit ribosomal RNA", at positions 338 to 795 of the family's 1533-position model. The record is from RNAcentral.